Molecule: ribosomal RNA, 2523 nt
Filed under: Triticum aestivum (bread wheat)
Lineage: Eukaryota; Viridiplantae; Streptophyta; Magnoliopsida; Poales; Poaceae
Description: partial small subunit ribosomal RNA
Source: RNAcentral
AUGUACUCUGUAUGCGGCAAGCAAAGCAAUCAAUUAAGUUUACAUGGUAUCGGAUAUCUCUCCCACGAUCCUCUCCUAACCUCCAGUGCCAUGACCAACCCCGGCGCUGGCAAUCCCUCCCAACCGGCCGCCGGCGACCAAACCUCUCUGGCGACCUCCUCCACCACUACCCUCACCAUCCCCUCUCUCUCCUUCAGCAACACUAUCACCGAUGUGACUCCCUUCAUCCCCAUUGUUCUUGAUCUCCACAACAGGAACUACUACCACUGGCGCCACUUGUUCGAGAUCCACCUCGGUCGCUGCUCGUUGCUGCACCACAUCUCCGACGCCUCUCCUCCCAAGCCGCACAAUCCUCGCUGGCUCAAAGACGAUCUUGCCAUCAUCCAGUGGCUUUACACGCGCAUCUCCACCGAGCUAUUCAACCUCGUCGUCAAGGACGGCGCCACUGCGCGUGACAUCUGGACGGAGCUCCGGCGUCUCUUCCAGGACAACCGCGAUGCCCGCAUCUCGUCCCUCAACGUCGAGCUCCGCACCAUCACCCAGGGAGAUCGUCCUGUUGGCGUCUUCUGUCAACAGAUCAAGACGAUUGGCGAUGAACUCCGUGAACUCGGGGAAACCGUUGCCGAUCGCUCUCUUCUUCACGCUCUCAUGGGCGGGCUCGAUGAACGGUUCGCUCAGCAGGCGUCGCUGAUUCCUCUACUCCGCCCACUGUCGUCCCUAUCCGAGGCCAGAUCAAUGCUGCAGCUCGAGGAGCAGACCCAGGCGCGCAAGGUUGGCGCUCCGCGUCUCUUCCACACCGCCGCUCAUCUUGCUCCGUCGCCGCCAGCAUCAUCCUUGACGCCUCCCGCCCCGCAGCCGCCUCCUGGAUGGCGCCCAAGCCCCAACUAUAAGGGUAAAAACCCGGUCUAUCGACCGCCCAAACAGCACUCGUCGGCUUCCUCGUCAUCCUCCGCGCCUCCACCGCCGGCGCCUUCAUCGGCGCCAACGUCACCAACGCCCGCGGCGCCUCCGGCUUCUUCACGAUGGCAGCCUACCACCGAUCCCUGGACGGGGCUCGUUCAGGCCUGGCAGAUGCCCUGGACCGCGCCUUCCCCCUACGGUGCUCCACCUGCCUACAGUGGAACCUGGGCGCCCGGCAUGCGCCCCUCCAUCGGCGCUCCCGGGCUCCUCGGCUCCCGGCCGCCGCCGCACGCGUACACGGCCUAUGCUCCUCUGUACCAGUCUUCGGCACCUCCAUCAGCACCACCUCCAUACCUCUACGGCGCUCCUACAACAGGUUGGGACCUCGCUGGUCCAUUGGCGUCGCCAUCUGCAUCUCUGCACCAGCCGGCGCCCCUGUUUCCACUACAGCACCACCAGCCUGGGAUCAAGCUACUCUCAUCGCCGCCCUUAACUCACUUACCACCCAGCACACAGGAUCUCCACUGCAAGACGGUGAUAGCUCGGUUCAAUAGCUCCGGCGAUCUCUACACCAUCAACGGCGCCUCUUCUCCAUCACCUCAAGCCAUGCACGCCUCGGUCACCUUAUGGCAUCGCCGGUUUGGUCAUCCCACCGCCACCACAACCACCAAGCUUCUCCAAGAGUUUCAGCUUCCGCAUGAUCACGAGUCCCAUGAUGUCUCCCUAUGUACAACGUGUCAAUUAGGCAAAUAUGUUCGGUUACCUUUUAGCACGUCUACCACUCACAGUACCUUUCCCUUUGAAUUAUUGCAUUGUGACCUAUGGACCUCGCCUAUUCCUAGUGUGUCUGGUUUUAAGUACUACCUUGUAACCGUGGAUGAUUUUUCUCACUAUAUACGAACCUUUCCUGUUCGCUCUAAAUCCGAUGUUCAUCCUCUUUUUGUACAUUUUCAGUGCUACGUCUUCACUCACUUCUCCCUUCCCAUUCGCUUUCUCCAGUGUGACAAUGGUCGAGAGUUUGACAACGCUCGCAAUCGAGAGUUCUUCUUGCAGCAUGGCAUCCUCCUACGUUGCUCCUGCCCAUACACUUCCUCUCAAAAUGGCAAAGCAGAGCGCUUUCUUCGCACUAUCAAUGACAUUUUGCGCACACUCCUCAUCCAGGCUUCCACUCCACCUAAGUUUUGGGUAGAAGCUCUACGUCACGCAAUAUACCUUCUCAAUAUUCGACCAACUCCCACCUGCCCAAAGUUCUCUCCAUACGAAUCAUUAUUUCUCGCCCCACCUUCCUAUGAUAGCCUUCGUAUUUUUGGCCGUCUCUGUUUUCCAAACCUUAGCGCCACCACCCCUCACAAACUCUCCCAACGUUCCUUGCCAAGCGUUUUCCUCGGCUAUUCUGAUUCGCACAAAGGCUUUCGUUGCCUACAACUGGACACUGGUCGUGUUUUUGUUUCUCGCCAUGUUACUUUUGACGAAACAGCCUUCCCAUUUGCGUCCCACUCCCAUCCAGAUUUUUCCAACCCAAUCAGUGCCAGCAAAAAUGCCUCCAAGCCACUCAAUGUGCAUGGCCUGCAUGGCCCUGUUCACGCAGUCUUUUCUCCAGGGCCCGCCUGUUGGGUAACGUAG